Molecule: long non-coding RNA, 965 nt
Filed under: Fukomys damarensis (Damara mole-rat)
Lineage: Eukaryota; Metazoa; Chordata; Mammalia; Rodentia; Bathyergidae
Description: lncRNA (ENSFDAG00000024189.1)
Source: RNAcentral
AGGGUGCUGACCACAGAGUGCCAUGAAACGUACUUCUGAACUUCCAGAUCUGUGUGUACUUACCUUCUCCACACGGAUUCUGAAUUCUCCCAACAUGCUGAACCCAGUAAGAGACUGCAUUUCAGAGGGACCACUUCGUGAUCACACAGAACCAGCCUUCGCUGGGACACGAUCUGAAUGACAUCAUCAGGUAGAUAUCGAGACUUCACAGGAGAUGCUGGGAAGGAAUGAGUACAAAGAAGAGAAAGAUACCGACUGGAAGGAACACAGAGAGACCAAGGUUAACUUCAGCAGUCUAUUCUAAUGCUUUAGGUAUCCUGUGAAUGUUGAAUGUUCUGUUUCAGAUCACCGGACCCUUACAUUAUAAGAUAAAGAUUAUAAACAGACAAAAAGUAAAGACCAGGAGGAAAACAAGCCUCCAGAGAUGAGGGCUGAUUUGCCCCCUUUUACUGGAGUCAUCGCGCAACUACAUCCCUUAAUGAAACCUAUAGAGUUUCGUCAUCGGAGCAAAUUUCUGGAUUGAGAGACUAGUUCAGUCUCACCCUUCUGUACUGGGAACCACAGUGGCCAACCUGGCCUGCCCUCUCCGGCAUGACCUUUGGCUGCUACUUCUGAGCAAUGGUCCCAAGGGAAGAACCUUAAGAAUAUCUGACUCACUUUCUAUUGAUAAGUAAACAAAGUGGUCUAUGCACAGUCUAAGGCUGGUCUGGAAGUUCUCCAAGCUCCUUCUGCUGCCCCAUCCCUGCCUUUUGAGAUGCUUAGAGUCUGACCAGGGAGUUUCAUAGAUAUGGACUUAACAUGUAUAAAAUGAGAAGUAACUAUUAAAAGACUAGGAUUUCCUGGCCUCACAUAGCUUUGAGAAUUUUAUUCACUUAUUCACUCAUGCAGGAGAUGGUUCCUGUUUGUCCACUGAAUUUAGCUGCUUUCCCUGCAGUGGCUCACAACUACUUUUGGAAAACCCACAC